RNAcentral lists this ribosomal RNA (767 nucleotides) under Cosmospora khandalensis. Its description in RNAcentral is "eukaryotic LSU rRNA". It matches the Rfam family "Eukaryotic large subunit ribosomal RNA", at positions 113 to 912 of the family's 3401-position model. The record is from RNAcentral. Lineage: Eukaryota; Fungi; Ascomycota; Sordariomycetes; Hypocreales; Nectriaceae.
AUUUGAAAUCUGGCCCUCGGGUCCGAGUUGUAAUUUGUAGAGGAUGCUUUUGGUGCGGUGCCUUCCGAGUUCCCUGGAACGGGACGCCAUAGAGGGUGAGAGCCCCGUCUGGUUGGACACCAAGCCUCUGUAAAGCUCCUUCGACGAGUCGAGUAGUUUGGGAAUGCUGCUCUAAAUGGGAGGUAUAUGUCUUCUAAAGCUAAAUACCGGCCAGAGACCGAUAGCGCACAAGUAGAGUGAUCGAAAGAUGAAAAGCACUUUGAAAAGAGGGUUAAAUAGUACGUGAAAUUGUUGAAAGGGAAGCGCUUAUGACCAGACUUGAGCCCGGUUAAUCAUCCAGCCUUCUGGCUGGUGCACUUGGCCGGCUCAGGCCAGCAUCAGUUCGGCGCGGGGGAUAAAGGUUUCGGGAAUGUGGCUCCUCCGGGAGUGUUAUAGCCCGUUGCGUAAUACCCUGCGCUGGACUGAGGUUCGCGCAUCUGCAAGGAUGCUGGCGUAAUGGUCAUCAGCGACCCGUCUUGAAACACGGACCAAGGAGUCGUCUUCGUAUGCGAGUGUUCGGGUGUCAAACCCCUACGCGUAAUGAAAGUGAACGCAGGUGAGAGCUUCGGCGCAUCAUCGACCGAUCCUGAUGUUCUCGGAUGGAUUUGAGUAAGAGCAUACGGGGCCGGACCCGAAAGAAGGUGAACUAUGCCUGUAUAGGGUGAAGCCAGAGGAAACUCUGGUGGAGGCUCGCAGCGGUUCUGACGUGCAAAUCGAUCGUCAAAUAU